CUACAAGUUCACAAUGCCUUUGAAGGAUGCUGGCAAAAGCAAUGGGGUCAUCAGCCUUGGAAAGAAACUCAGAAGUUCUCAUGAGUCAGUCCAGAGGGAACUCCGGUCUUGAAGUAAUCUUCUGCUGGGGAGAGAAUCCUGGAGGUGCCUGUUUCCUGUCAGGAUUCAGUCCUUGAAGCUUCUCAGGAAAUAUAUGACCAGAGUCGACUUCAAUGUUCCUAUGAAGAACAACCAGAUAACAAACAACCAGAGGAUUAAGGCUGCUGUCCCAAGCAUCAAAUUCUGCUUGGACAAUGGAGCCAAGUCGGUAGUCCUUAUGAGCCACCUAGGCCGGCCUGAUGGUGUGCCCAUGC
Molecule: small RNA, 353 nt
Filed under: Pan troglodytes (chimpanzee)
Lineage: Eukaryota; Metazoa; Chordata; Mammalia; Primates; Hominidae
Description: processed transcript
Source: RNAcentral